Molecule: ribosomal RNA, 1525 nt
Filed under: metagenome
Description: bacterial SSU rRNA
Rfam family: Bacterial small subunit ribosomal RNA
Source: RNAcentral
AGGGUUUGAUCCUGGCUCAGAACGAACGCUGGCGGCGUGGCUAAGACAUGCAAGUCGAACGGGCCGGUUUUUUGAGCAAUCAACGGACUGGCCAGUGGCGAAAGGGUGCGUAACGGAUAAGUAACGUGCCUCGGGCUUCGGAAUAGCGCCGUCACGGGAAACCGUGACUACCGAAAGGGGCGAUAAUACCGGAUAACGUCAUUUACCGACAGGUGAAUGACCAAAGAUCAGUCGGCUCGAGAGCGACCUAUCUCCUAUCAGCUUGUUGGUGAGGUAAUGGCCCACCAAGGCUUUGACGGGUAGCGGGACUGAGAGGUCGGCCCGCCUCAUCGGGACUGAGACACUGCCCGGACCUCCACGGAGGGCUGCAGUAACGAAUAUUGGGCAAUGGGCGAAAGCCUGACCCAGCGACGCCGCGUGCGGGAGGAAGUCCUUUGGGACGUAAACCGCUUUUAGGAUUAUGAAAGCCUCGAGCAAUCGGGGUUGAUCUACUCCAGAAAAAGUCACGGCUAACUCUGUGCCAGCAGCCGCGGUAAGACAGAGGUGGCGAGCGUUGUUCGGUGUCACUGGGCUUAAAGGGUGUGUAGGCGGCCAGAUCAGUCCGUUGUGAAAUACCCCGGCUUAACCGGGGAACUGCUUCGGAUACUAUCUGGCUUGAGGCAGGUAUGGGUGCGGGGAACUGUUGGUGGAGCGGUGGAAUGCGUAGAUAUCAACAGGAACGCCGGUGGUGAAGACGCUGCACUGGGCCUGUCCUGACGCUGAGACACGAAAGCGUGGGCAUAAAACGGGAUUAGAUACCCCGGUAUUCCACGCCCUAAACGAUGUCAACUAGGCUGGGGAGGUUCUGACGCCGCCCUGGCCGAAGCAAAAGUGUUAAGUUGACCGCCUGGGGAGUACGGUCGCAAGGCUAAAACUCAAAGGAAUUGACGGGGGCUCACACAAGCGGUGGAGCAUGUGGAUCAAUUCGAAACAACGCGCAGAACCUUACCUGGGUUUGACAUGGUUGGAUACUUUACCUGAAAGGGCUAAAGUUACCCGCAAGGGUGAAACUUCCACAGGUGCUGCAUGGCUGUCGUCAGCUCGUGUUGUGAGAUGUCGGGUUAAGUCCUUUAACGAGCGAAACCCCUGCCGUUAGUUACCAGCCGGGAGCAAUUCCGGGGGACUCUAGCGGGACUGCCGGUGUUAAACCGGAGGAAGGUGGGGAUGACGUCAAGUCAUCAUGGCCUUUAUGCCCAGGGCCUCACACGUGCUACAAUGGCGAGUACAAAGCGACGCAAGACCGCAAGGUGGAGCAAAUCGCAAAAAAGUCGCCCCAGUACAGAUUGCAGGCUGGCAACUCGCCUGCAUGAAGUUGGAAUCGCUAGUAAUCGCGAAUCAGCUACGUCGCGGUGAAUGUGUUCCUGAGCCUUGUACACACCGCCCGUCAAGUCAUGGGAGUCGUAAGUACCCAAAACCGGCUUAUCAACCGCAAGGGGAUGGCUGUCUACGGUAAGUGCGAUGACUGGGACUAAGUCGUAACAAGGUA